Molecule: long non-coding RNA, 734 nt
Organism: Beta vulgaris subsp. vulgaris (sugar beet)
Lineage: Eukaryota; Viridiplantae; Streptophyta; Magnoliopsida; Caryophyllales; Amaranthaceae
Exons: 3
Source: RefSeq, a predicted model, not a curated record
AAAAAAAAACUAAAUCCUAGAUUUCCUAGGUGAACUAAGUCACCUAACUAAUCUAUUAUAAAGAUAGAGUAAGCAAAAGAAAAAAAAAAACAAAACAAAAGAAAAAAAAAAAGAGGCAAAAAGGGUUCAGUAAGCUUCCCCGUAGCCCUUCCCCUUUUAUUUCUUCAUUCUUCUUCAUUCACCUUAUUCUCCAUCUAUCUUUUCUCUAAUUCUUGAUCCAACACCAUGAAUUUAUAAAUUUUGUUCAACUUUAUCACAAUUCAAACCUUCUUCUCAUCUAUCUUUUAUAUUACUUGAGUUUGUGGGUAUUUCAAAGAAGGAAAACUUGGCUCUUGAUCUAGUGAACGUUUGGGGCGAAAACCAGAUCAAAGGGGUGACUUUUGAGUCUUUUCUUGAGUAAUUUCAUUUCACUGUUCAAAUUCCGGAUUUAUAGAAGAAUCCUUCUGACUUGAGGUUGAGUUUGUUUGACUUUAUUGCUGAUAAGGGACUUGAAGAUAGUUAGCGCCAGUUGGGUUAAAGAGUGCGUUGGAUCCCUUUUGAUUUAAUAGGACUUUUAAAAAGACUUCCGCUGUUAUUCAUUUGAUUAUAAGAUUUAUGUUCUGGUUUGUAAUAAUUAUUUUACAUUCUAUUUAGUUGGUCUGUAAUAAUUAGUUAAAACUUUUGGUUAUUGUUUUAGUUAGAACCAUUAGCCUUGCAGUUAUUAUUAAUAAUUAUCGCGGCGUAGCACCUUUGGA